GGGGAGAUGGCUCAGUGGUUAAGAGCACUGGCUAUUCUUCCAAAGGACCUGGGUUCAAGUCCCAGAAUCCACA
Molecule: transfer RNA, 73 nt
Filed under: Neotoma lepida (desert woodrat)
Lineage: Eukaryota; Metazoa; Chordata; Mammalia; Rodentia; Cricetidae
Rfam family: tRNA
About the family: Transfer RNA (tRNA) molecules are approximately 80 nucleotides in length.
Source: Rfam by way of RNAcentral